Long non-coding RNA from Hypanus sabinus (Atlantic stingray), 1985 nucleotides. RefSeq lists it as uncharacterized. The record is from RefSeq and is a predicted model, not a curated record. Lineage: Eukaryota; Metazoa; Chordata; Chondrichthyes; Myliobatiformes; Dasyatidae. The transcript has 4 exons.
UAACACUGUUAACUUUCCUUUAUUUCGUUGUUACUAUAUUAUAAAUAGAUACCAAUAAAGAGAGUGAUUUUAACAUCAAAACCAGACUCCAGUGUGAACUCUAUUGCUGCUGGUUCGUUUCUAAAACGUUGCAGCUCGUAACACAGUUUUAUAAAACUAGUUAGACCACAUCUGGAGUGUUUCAUACAGUUCUGGUCGCCCCCAUUCUCGAAAGGAUGUCGGGGCUUUGGACAGGGCACAGAAGAGGUUUACCAGGACACUGCCUGGAUUAGAGGGCAUGAGCUAUAACGAGAGGCUGGACAAACUUGUGUUGUUUUCUCCAGAGCGGCGCAGGCUGGGGUGAGACUGGAUGGACGAUUAUAAGAUUACGAGAGGAAUAGAUAGAGUGGACAGACGAUAUAUUUUUCCUGGGGGUUGAAAUGUCUAAUACAUUUAAGGUGAGAUGAGAUGUGAGCGGCAAGUUUGCUUCUUUCCACUGACUAAUGAGUAGCUGGAGUCUCUGCCUUGGGGGGAGGGGGGAGGUGUCACCAAUCCUGACGAGUAAUCCCAUUUGCCCCUCCCAUUUAACCGCAGCAUCUGCGUGGCCCCGCCUCCCGAUGAUGUAACAAUCUCUUCGCGCAUGUUCACAGUCUCCGGGUGGACGGUGUAUCCUCUCCGCUCAGAGCUGAAGUGGGUCGGCCGUGUGUUCGGGAAAGACUUUCGACUCUUCCUUCGAGAUCACUCUCUGCGGGCCGAAGAUAUCACUUCAAUACUUCGGUAUUGAGACCGAUCCCGAGCGGGGAGAUCUGAUGUUGGCCGUGAGCCCGGAACUGAGGGCCAGUUAAUCAUCUAUUUUCCAGCUAUCUGGGCUCGUCAGAAAUGUGUCGACUUAACUUAAUCUGCAUUGAACGAUCCAAACCAGGAGCCCAGGCUGUCUGUUUCAGCAGAAUUGAAAUGGAAGACUCGCAGACAGGUCACUUGUGUCUUGUGCCGCAGAUUCGCCCCGCCUCCGCUUUGUGACGCCAGAUCACGUGGUUGAUUUUGGCCACUGACUGUGUUCAGUUAAAACUGCGGUGAGAGAUUUAUUGGAAGAAAACGCAUGACUGAAGACGAGGGAACAGCAACAUGUGAACCAGCCCGAGGAUUGAGAGCACUGACUGGAGAGGACCCAUAUGACUCGGAGAUUCCAGUGAUUCAGUCAGGAGAAAGUUUGGUUAAAAACGGGAAGGAAUAUGUCUCCAGGAAUCUCAAACACGGCACAACAGUUUUUUUGUCUCUGUCCAGAUAUUUAAGAAGUGGAGCAAGGGAUUCAAUCUACCAUCCUUCCUGCUCAGACUGUGGGGAGGGAUUCACUUGGUCAUUUCAACUGAAGCUUGUUUAGUUUUAACCGAGGACACAGACACUCAGAGACAGACAGAGACAAAGGAGGAAAAAUGGAAGGAUCGAAACCAGGGAACUAGUGGCCAAGGGUCACUGUUUGGAACUUUCCUAUGCCCACAAGGACGGGUUAAUUAUCGAUUCACCGUACAUCGAAUGUGUGGUUGUCAUCUCGUUUGAUCCUUAAGAGUGGAUCGGAUUUGGCGCAUCCUGUGGAGACCACUUAUGUGUUAACCCUUGCCUGGCUGUGGUGUGGUAGUUCACGAAGACAAUACCCCUUGUGACAAGUCACUUUCGAUGAUAAUUUGUAUGUGGAUUUGGAACAAUGAUGGAUAAAAUCUCCAGCAACUGUUCUCUCGUUUUACCACCGUGGAACCUGUGCAAUUCUACAUAUUUGACUUCUCUCGCCAUUUACCCUGGAUCAUAACUCACUCUCUCUCAUCGCCUAUUCUGUAGUUCAACUGAACUUUCAUACUUUACCAUCUCAAGACUGGAAGCCUUGUUUCCCCUGAGCUCAAUAGUUUGGGAGUUACAUUUACACACAUUUAUAAGCUUAACACUGUUAACUUCUGUUUAUCUUGUUGAAGUUGCAAUUUUACAAGUAGAUUCUAAUAAAGACAGAUUUAACA